UGUUGGUCUGAAGGUAGUGAGUUAUCUCAAUUGAUUGUUCACAGUUCAUUACAAAUUGAACUCCUCAUUCUACUUUACUUUUCCCCCCCCUUUUCACGACAGCACUUGACUAGUCUUAA
This 119-nucleotide Y RNA is filed under the name Capra hircus (goat). RNAcentral describes it as "Y RNA (ENSCHIG00000002937.1)". It matches the Rfam family "Y RNA". From Rfam's summary of the family: Y RNAs are components of the Ro ribonucleoprotein particle (Ro RNP), in association with Ro60 and La proteins. The Y RNAs and Ro60 and La proteins are well conserved, but the function of the Ro RNP is not known. The record is from Rfam by way of RNAcentral. Lineage: Eukaryota; Metazoa; Chordata; Mammalia; Artiodactyla; Bovidae.